RNAcentral lists this long non-coding RNA (208 nucleotides) under Olea europaea (common olive). RNAcentral describes it as "long non-coding RNA (OEUR_LNC007709)". The record is from RNAcentral. Lineage: Eukaryota; Viridiplantae; Streptophyta; Magnoliopsida; Lamiales; Oleaceae.
UUGAUAUUACAUUUAUAAGCAUCAUACCACCAAGAGUAAUUGACAAAAAUAAAUUACGUAAUUUAGUGUUCGCAAGUUUGGCCACUUUGGUGACUAACAAACAACAUUAAUCGAACAUUAAUUACAUAACUAAAACAUUUAUCUAAAUCAGUCAUCAAAACUUUUGGAUAAAUCAUUUUCUAUCCCAAUUAUUGUGUGUAGAUUAAUU